Molecule: ribosomal RNA, 482 nt
Filed under: uncultured bacterium
Lineage: Bacteria
Description: partial 16S ribosomal RNA
Rfam family: Bacterial small subunit ribosomal RNA
Source: RNAcentral
AUUGAACGCUGGCGGCAUGAUUUACACAUGCAAGUCGAACGGUAACAGGCCGCAAGGUGCUGACGAGUGGCGAACGGGUGAGUAAUGCAUCGGAACGUGCCCAGUCGUGGGGGAUAACUACUCGAAAGAGUAGCUAAUACCGCAUACGAUCUAUGGAUGAAAGCGGGGGACCGUAAGGCCUCGCGCGAUUGGAGCGGCCGAUGUCAGAUUAGGUAGUUGGUGGGGUAAAGGCUCACCAAGCCAACGAUCUGUAGCUGGUCUGAGAGGACGACUAGCCACACUGGGACUGAGACACGGCCCAGACUCCUACGGGAGGCAGCAGUGGGGAAUUUUGGACAAUGGGCGCAAGCCUGAUCCAGCAAUGCCGCGUGCAGGAAGAAGGCCUUCGGGUUGUAAACUGCUUUUGUACGGAACGAAACGGCUCUGGUUAAUACCCGGGGCUAAUGACGGUACCGUAAGAAUAAGCACCGGCUAACUACGUG